CCAAAGGUUCCCUCAGCCUGGUUGGCAAUCAGGUGUUGAGUGUAAGUGCACAAGGGAGCUUGACUGUGAGACCGACGGGUCGAGCAGGGACGAAAGUCGGGACUAGUGAUCCGGCAGUGGCUUGUGGAAGCGCUGUCGCUCAACGGAUAAAAGGUACCCCGGGGAUAACAGGCUGAUCUUCCCCAAGAGUCCAUAUCGACGGGAUGGUUUGGCACCUCGAUGUCGGCUCGUCGCAUCCUGGGGCUGGAGUCGGUCCCAAGGGUUGGGCUGUUCGCCCAUUAAAGCGGUACGCGAGCUGGGUUUAGAACGUCGUGAGACAGUUCGGUCCCUAUCCGCUGUGCGCGUAGGAAUAUUGAGAAGGGCUGUCCCUAGUACGAGAGGACCGGGACGGACGAACCUCUGGUGUGCCAGUUGUCCUGCCAAGGGCAUGGCUGGUUGGCUACGUUCGGAAAGGAUAACCGCUGAAAGCAUCUAAGCGGGAAGCCUGCUUCGAGAUGAGUAUUCCCACCAACUUGAUUGGUUAAGGCUCCCAGUAGACGACUGGGUUGAUAGGCCAGAUGUGGAAGCCCUGUAAGGGGUGGAGCUGACUGGUACUAAUAGGCCGAGGGCUUGUCCUCAGUUG
RNAcentral lists this ribosomal RNA (622 nucleotides) under Streptomyces sp. SID14515. RNAcentral's name for it is "partial 23S ribosomal RNA". It matches the Rfam family "Bacterial large subunit ribosomal RNA", at positions 2310 to 2925 of the family's 2925-position model. The record is from RNAcentral. Lineage: Bacteria; Bacillati; Actinomycetota; Actinomycetes; Kitasatosporales; Streptomycetaceae.